This 408-nucleotide unclassified non-coding RNA is filed under the name uncultured Lulworthiaceae. RNAcentral's name for it is "sequence contains ITS1". The stretch from base 1 to 105 matches the Rfam family "5.8S ribosomal RNA", at positions 50 to 154 of the family's 154-position model. The record is from RNAcentral. Lineage: Eukaryota; Fungi; Ascomycota; Sordariomycetes; Lulworthiales.
GAAAUGCGAUACGUAAUGUGAAUUGCAGAAUUCAGCGAAUCAUCGAAACCUUGAACGCACACUGCACCUGGAAGACCACUUCCAGGUACAUCUAUUUGAGUGUCGGUUACUAAUCUCACCCAUAAACACUUGCUGUUUGUGAGUGGACUUGAACCUCAAGAAGAACACUAUUCUUCCUGUUGUUUGAAAUACAUAAUUGUUGGUAGUUUUACUGUAUCACUAACACAGUUAACUAACCAUGAUCAAGAAGUUUGUGUCUUUUACUAGACAUAUAUAACAUCCUGAUUAUGUUGUUACUAAUACCUGUGUCAUUUACUGUAAAACACUAUACUCCAACAACAAUCAAGGAUACCUGUACUUCUUCAACUUCUCGACCUCAAAUUAGAUGGGACUACCUGCUGAAUUUAA